Molecule: ribosomal RNA, 206 nt
Filed under: uncultured bacterium
Lineage: Bacteria
Description: partial 16S ribosomal RNA
Rfam family: Bacterial small subunit ribosomal RNA
Source: RNAcentral
CUCAGUUCGGAUUGGAGUCUGCAACUCGACUCCAUGAAGCUGGAUUCGCUAGUAAUCGCGCAUCAGCCAUGGCGCGGUGAAUACGUUCCCGGGCCUUGUACACACCGCCCGUCAAGCCAUGGAAGCCGGGAGUGCCUGAAGUGUGCAACCGCAAGGAGCGCCCUAAGGUAAAACUGGUGACUGGGGCUAAGUCGUAACAAGGUAAC